GGUGGCGGCUAUACUGGAGUUGUUCCACCUGUUCCCAUACCGAACACAGAAGUGAAAUACUCCAAGGCCGAUGAUAUUGCCUUUCGGGGUGAGAAAGUAGGUAGCUGCCACCA
This 113-nucleotide ribosomal RNA is filed under the name bacterium. The record is from RNAcentral.